ACAAGCGGUGGAUGAUGUGGUUAAUUCGAUGCAACGCGAAAACCUUACCACCUUUGACAUGUACGGAAUCCUCUAGAGAUAGAGGAGUGCUCGAAAGAGAGCCGUAACACAGGUGCUGCAUGGCUGUCGUCAGCUCGUGUCGUGAGAUGUUGGGUUAAGUCCCGCAACGAGCGCAACCCUUGUCAUUAGUUGCUACGAAAGGGCACUCUAAUGAGACUGCCGGUGACAAACCGGAGGAAGGUGGGGAUGACGUCAAGUCCUCAUGGCCCUUAUAGGUGGGGCUACACACGUCAUACAAUGGCUGGUACAAAGGGUUGCCAACCCGCGAGGGGGAGCCAAUCCCAUAAAGCCAGUCGUAGUCCGGAUCGCAGUCUGCAACUCGACUGCGUGAAGUCGGAAUCGCUAGUAAUCGUGGAUCAGCAUGUCACGGUGAAUACGUUCCCGGGUCUU
RNAcentral lists this ribosomal RNA (450 nucleotides) under uncultured Comamonas sp. RNAcentral's name for it is "bacterial SSU rRNA". It matches the Rfam family "Bacterial small subunit ribosomal RNA", at positions 925 to 1382 of the family's 1533-position model. The record is from RNAcentral. Lineage: Bacteria; Pseudomonadati; Pseudomonadota; Betaproteobacteria; Burkholderiales; Comamonadaceae.